This is a long non-coding RNA of Ochlerotatus camptorhynchus, 191 nucleotides long. RefSeq lists it as uncharacterized. The transcript has 2 exons. Lineage: Eukaryota; Metazoa; Arthropoda; Insecta; Diptera; Culicidae. The record is from RefSeq and is a predicted model, not a curated record.
AAGCAAAUCAAAGUGAAAAUGAAGAACUUACCAGCAAUUAUCCUAGUGGUCACGGUUUCACUACUUUUAUGCGAAGCUUCGAUGGCUGCAGGACAUCCCAAACAACCUGCAAAGUCCAAGGAACACAAACUUAGUGAAGCAAUUAAACAUACUGUUGAUCGAAUCCGUCAACAGCAGCAACAGCAACAACA